UUUAAAACCUUCCUCUCAAAUAUGGAAGGUGGGAUUUGUUGCCUUUUAUUAGUGCUCUCCUUCAAGAGGACACAGGAGUUUCUGUUUGCAGAUUAGUGGGUGCUCCUGAAGAGGGAAAUUCAUAAGCUCAGCCAAGCAAUAUUUGCAAGGCUGCGGUUCUGAGCACUGCUUCACAUAUUUGCUGUACACAUGCCAAGAGGAAGUUUUCCUGACCAUGGAGCAAAUUCUUAAAGAAAUACCUGCAAAACAGGUGCUGAUGCCAUCAAGUGAUGGAAGGUGAUAUGCUGAGAUGCUUUAUGUCAGCAAUGAGGGCAAUCAGAUUCCCAGAAAACAAUUCCAAGCUGAUCUCCAGAACAGAAAGAGUUAAUAAAGUUGCUGUGACAAAAUUUAUGGGACUAAAACAAACUAAGUCACUGAUGAAGAAAGGAGGAAGAGUGCAUUUGCUCCUGAGAUCCAGCUCUACUGAGGAUUUUAUCUGUUUUUUCAGAUCCAAGACAAGAGAUUACAUUAUGACUGACAUGCUGAUGUAUUUUUUUACUCCUUGUAAGAACCUAAGCAGUGCAGGAGUUUUGGUACAGGCUGCAUUUCAGCGUGUUGAAAGAUUCUGUGCUUGUUCCAAGAGGCUCCCAAUGAAAUUUCCUCACACUGAAUGUCCAUGGCAUUUCAAUUCUGCACUUGCUACAAAGGCACAGGGCAUGACCAGUUCCUUGGUUUCCAUCCCUCUCACUCCAUUCCCAACAAAUACAGUACAAUGCCAAGUACAGUCCUUUUCACAUGCAGCUUUCCUUCUUCCACCCAGGAUUUAACUGAGAUUUGGAGCACCAAGGGGUGCAGGAAAUUCAACACCGUGUUUGAAGGCCACUGCAAAUGCAAGAGCCACAACUUCUGCCUCAGGAAUAUAUUGUAGGUGCACAGGUGAGGUAGCUGCAGGUGGCUGGAAUGAACACUCCCCUCUUUUCCAGUGAGAGUUUUCAACCUGUACACAUCACAUUUUGCCAUCCCUGUGUAGGACAUUGCUGCAGGACACUUGCUUUGUCUCAGUUCCUGCUGGUGCCUGCUGCCCAUCCUCAGCUCCCCAAACACAGGAAGCAGUUGAUGCUGUCUCAGUGAAGGUUAUUGUUUAGAUCCUAGAAGAAAGGUUCAGAUUCCAGGGAAAUGGGACCUACAGAAAAGAAUAUUAGUCUUUAAUACUAGGGUGAAACCUGUGUUUAGGAAACAUCCACAGAACAUGCAGAAAGUGCAAAUGAGAAAACUCUUACAGCAGCCACAAAAUUCCAAAUAUAGGGGAGCUACAUCUUGGGCCAUCUUCUAUAAUCUGUACCUGUCAGGAACCCAGAAUCAAUAAAGAGAAGCAAAUAUAAUGAGCCUGAGGCAUUUAACAAACAAAACUCAUAUACCAAAGCU
Long non-coding RNA from Cyanistes caeruleus (blue tit), 1404 nucleotides. RefSeq lists it as uncharacterized. The record is from RefSeq and is a predicted model, not a curated record. NCBI's taxonomy places the organism in Eukaryota, Metazoa, Chordata, Aves, Passeriformes, Paridae.